Molecule: long non-coding RNA, 1898 nt
Organism: Passer domesticus (house sparrow)
Lineage: Eukaryota; Metazoa; Chordata; Aves; Passeriformes; Passeridae
Exons: 2
Source: RefSeq, a predicted model, not a curated record
UGUAUUCAGAGAUGAGGUUUAUCGUGGAUACAGGCUCCAAGUGUGGGUACAACCCUUCCUUCCACAGGCUUAUUCCACAGCGCUGUUGGCAGUAUCAGGCCUGGUGCUGGUGAAAUGUUUCUACCUCUCUGUAGAUCAUUGCUGCUGAUACACCCCUGAGAUGAGAGCUCAGUGCAGACUGUGUCUUUCAUUAACCCCUCUGCAAUCACCAAGUUUCCUGCUGCUCAGAAGUGGAUUGGGAGUGGGGGCCUUCCUUUGGCUAUGCCUGUCUCUUCCUAAACCAAGUUUCUCCACCAUUCCAUGGAGAGCAACAUAUGUUUGUUUUUAGUCAGGCUGCUGGGCCCAGAGAUGCCUUAUUAAUGGACAAUCAUUUGAUUUGUGUAUCAAUGAGUAACUAGAGAGGGCAACUCAGCUCUUAUUUUUUACAGCCCUGGUUUCUCCAAGGAAACCUUGGACACUGCUCUUGAUUAACAGCACAGAUUGGAGCUCAGAGUUCUGACACAAGGCUGCUCUGCUGUUAGCAGCUGCACAGGCUUUAACUUUUCCUUUCUUCCUCCUCUCCUCCCCCCUAUUUUUUUUCCAUUGUAACUCAGAGUGCAUUUUUGCAAGAUAUCCCUGAAAUUACUAUUACUACAUCACAAUAUUAGAUCAAUGCAGUGGUAACACAGUCCAGAUUGUUAUGGCAUUUGCAUCUUGAUGCCUUCCAUACUGUCUUGUGGAAUCUAACCUAAUACCACGAUUAAAAUGCCUUUUCCAUUUCUCUAAGACACUCUGCCUGCUGCCAUUACAUAAACGUCUGCCUAUCUCGGGUUUUGUACUGGCACCCAGCACUGGGGUCUUUGGGAGCCUAAUGAAAAGAACCUCCACUCAUUAAAGGGAGAUGGAGGUCCUUGCCAAAGCCUGGGAUUAAAUUAGAGUCUGUUCGGUUUCUCUUCUCACUGACAUCAUUAUGAAUCAAGAAAAACACUCCAUUCAAGCUGUCUUAGAGCAGUGCAAAAGCAGUGCGAGUUCAGAAUCAAACCUGUUCAGUUUAACACCAGCCUCCCUCCAUCACCUCUGGCAGCUUGCUUCCAUUCUGCAACUCACCUGCUGAAAACAGCAACUCUUGGUAUAAUACUGUUCCUUCUCAUGGGAAAGCAACAAGCUUCAGAGACAGGAACUUUUCAAAAGCCACCCUCAGGUGGGAUGGGAGAGAGGAUAAGAAUUACCAAAAGGAUGAAAAAAGACACAUCUGAGCUCCAACAGAGGUAGUGCCACAGACUUUGAGGGUGGCAGAAACCACCUUGGUUGCUGCUGAAAAGAAGAGUGGGCUUCAGAUAUUAUGUGACCUUGGGCUCACUGCAGAAGAAGAAGCAGCAUCUCUGGUGAGGCACUGGGACACGCCAGAGAACUUGUGGACGCUCCAUCCCUGGAAGUGUUCAAGACAAGGUUGGAUGGGGUUUGCAGCAGCCUGGUUUAGUGUAAGGUGUCCCUGCCCACGGUGGGGGUUAGAACAGGAUGAUUGUGAAGGUCACUUUGCACCUAAACCAUUCCAUGAUUCCAUGUCCCUUGUUGAGAGCUCCAGCCCCAGUCUUGCACCCCUCUUCACAUCCCUGUGAGGAUUCAGACAAGCAAAGCAGAUGCACAGGGGGAGGCACCACUCAGACCACCAGAUUUUCCAAGCCUUUUCUCCAAAGGACUGUACUCAAAAUAGCUGAGAAUUCUCACUCUUGACCCACCAUGAAAGCAGAUGAGAGCAGCUGGCAGAGGAGCCUUCAUUUUUCGGUGCCCCAGGGAUUUUCAAAAAUGCCUUCCAGAAGGAUCAUACUAACAUUCCGCACAACAUCACAACAGCCAUCCUGUGCCAUUUUCACUUUAAAGCUGAAAAAACCACCUGAAUUUCAAGACUGACUCUAGAA